CAAAAUGUAAUUGUCCUCGGAAGGGAAUUCCAGGUCUGACAAUGACUGGAUUGUAGUUUUGGAAUCUUUGCCUUCCUGGCUGCAAGAAAUUCACUAAAGGAAGCUUUCUUGGCACAUGGUUCCUCAUGCGGAUGCUUCAAGACAGUGGCUUUCACUACUGAAAGGCAACGAGCUACUUACUCACUGAGGACAAAGAACAUCUGUUUGAAGGCACUUGAGAGCAGCCAAGGAAGCCAAAAUAUGAAGUUCUGGGAUUCCCAAAGAAGGAUAAUGCACUGAGGAAAGCCUGAUAUUCUGCACUGCUUCUUCCCUCAAGACAUUUGCUGAUUCAGAAGCCCCACAUGGAGCAAGAGUCUGAAAAACCAAGUAGAAAGUAGUAGCUAAAAGUACCUGGAAUGCAGGUGGUGCCAUCUUGAAGCAUGAGGUUGAGACCACGCACUACAGAGCAACCAGGAAUUUUAAAGGUUGAAUUUCUAUGAUUCCGUGCCUGACCUUUUGUGGUUGAGAGGAGGAACAGAGUGGCUGUCACAGAUUUGGCUCUUCUGUCUGUCACAUGGAUUGAAAGCGGAGCCUCCGGAAUUGGAGACUGCUGGGAGGUGAGCCAAUUCCAGGGAUGGGAGAAAGUCUGAAGUGGUGAUGGGCCAGCCUUCUUUAGCAUCUUGGCCUGGCACAGAGCUGAGCAGGUGCACAGUAUCAGGUCUGAUUGAGCUGCUCAUGCUCAGGCUUCCAACACUCUUAAAGACGUUCUUCUGAGGAACACGUCCUCCACUCUCUAUCCUCCUCAUUUGUACUCCAUGUUAAAAAAGGAAACCAACUCCAAACAAGAAAAAUGUUAA
RNAcentral lists this long non-coding RNA (836 nucleotides) under Equus caballus (horse). RNAcentral describes it as "lncRNA (ENSECAG00000041154.2)". The record is from RNAcentral. Lineage: Eukaryota; Metazoa; Chordata; Mammalia; Perissodactyla; Equidae.